Molecule: ribosomal RNA, 274 nt
Filed under: uncultured bacterium
Lineage: Bacteria
Description: partial 16S ribosomal RNA
Rfam family: Bacterial small subunit ribosomal RNA
Source: RNAcentral
AUACGGAGGGUGCAAACGUUAAUCGGAAUUACUGGGCGUAAAGCGCGCGUAGGCGGCUUGUUAAGUCGGAUGUGAAAGCCCCGGGCUCAACCUGGGAACUGCAUUCGAUACUGGCAGGCUAGAGUAUAGUAGAGGCAAGUGGAAUUCCGGGUGUAGCGGUGAAAUGCGUAGAUAUCCGGAGGAACAUCAGUGGCGAAGGCGACUUGCUGGACUAAUACUGACGCUGAGGAGCGAAAGCGUGGGGAGCAAACGGGAUUAGAUACCCCGGUAGUCC